This 483-nucleotide ribosomal RNA is filed under the name uncultured bacterium. RNAcentral describes it as "partial 16S ribosomal RNA". It matches the Rfam family "Bacterial small subunit ribosomal RNA", at positions 29 to 506 of the family's 1533-position model. The record is from RNAcentral.
AUUGAACGCUGGCGGCAUGCCUUACACAUGCAAGUCGAACGGCAGCGCGGACUUCGGUCUGGCGGCGAGUGGCGAACGGGUGAGUAAUACAUCGGAACGUACCCUGUUGUGGGGGAUAACUAGUCGAAAGAUUAGCUAAUACCGCAUACGACCUGAGGGUGAAAGUGGGGGACCGCAAGGCCUCACGCAGCAGGAGCGGCCGAUGUCUGAUUAGCUAGUUGGUGGGGUAAAGGCCCACCAAGGCGACGAUCAGUAGCUGGUCUGAGAGGACGAUCAGCCACACUGGGACUGAGACACGGCCCAGACUCCUACGGGAGGCAGCAGUGGGGAAUUUUGGACAAUGGGGGCAACCCUGAUCCAGCAAUGCCGCGUGUGUGAAGAAGGCCUUCGGGUUGUAAAGCACUUUUGUCCGGAAAGAAAUCGCGCUGGUUAAUACCUGGCGUGGAUGACGGGACCGGAAGAAUAAGCACCGGCGAACUACGU